CCUACGGGUGGCUGCAGUGGGGAAUAUUGGACAAUGGGCGAAAGCCUGAUCCAGCCAUGUCGCGUGUGUGAAGAAGGCCUUCGGGUUGUAAAGCACUUUCAGUGGGGAAGAAAGCCUUGGGGCUAAUACCCUCGAGGAAGGACAUCACCCACAGAAGAAGCACCGGCUAACUCCGUGCCAGCAGCCGCGGUAAUACGGAGGGUGCGAGCGUUAAUCGGAAUUACUGGGCGUAAAGCGCGCGUAGGCGGUCUGAUAAGCCGGUUGUGAAAGCCCCGGGCUCAACCUGGGAACGGCAUCCGGAACUGUCAGGCUAGAGUGCAGGAGAGGAAGGUAGAAUUCCCGGUGUAGCGGUGAAAUGCGUAGAGAUCGGGAGGAAUACCAGUGGCGAAGGCGGCCUUCUGGACUGACACUGACGCUGAGGUGCGAAAGCGUGGGUAGCAAACAGGAUUAGAUACCCGAGUAGUC
Molecule: ribosomal RNA, 465 nt
Filed under: Vreelandella stevensii
Lineage: Bacteria; Pseudomonadati; Pseudomonadota; Gammaproteobacteria; Oceanospirillales; Halomonadaceae
Description: partial 16S ribosomal RNA
Rfam family: Bacterial small subunit ribosomal RNA
Source: RNAcentral